RNAcentral lists this ribosomal RNA (74 nucleotides) under Parageobacillus thermoglucosidasius. RNAcentral's name for it is "partial 16S ribosomal RNA". It matches the Rfam family "Bacterial small subunit ribosomal RNA", at positions 1 to 70 of the family's 1533-position model. The record is from RNAcentral. Lineage: Bacteria; Bacillati; Bacillota; Bacilli; Caryophanales; Anoxybacillaceae.
UUUCUUUUUGGAGAGUUUGAUCCUGGCUCAGGACGAACGCUGGCGGCGUGCCUAAUACAUGCAAGUCGAGCGGA